GAUGAACGCUGGCGGUGUGCCUAAUACAUGCAAGUCGAGCGAACAGACGAGGAGCUUGCUCCUCUGACGUUAGCGGCGGACGGGUGAGUAACACGUGGAUAACCUACCUAUAAGACUGGGAUAACUUCGGGAAACCGGAGCUAAUACCGGAUAAUAUAUUGAACCGCAUGGUUCAAUAGUGAAAGACGGUUUUGCUGUCACUUAUAGAUGGAUCCGCGCCGCAUUAGCUAGUUGGUAAGGUAACGGCUUACCAAGGCAACGAUGCGUAGCCGACCUGAGAGGGUGAUCGGCCACACUGGAACUGAGACACGGUCCAGACUCCUACGGGAGGCAGCAGUAGGGAAUCUUCCGCAAUGGGCGAAAGCCUGACGGAGCAACGCCGCGUGAGUGAUGAAGGUCUUCGGAUCGUAAAACUCUGUUAUUAGGGAAGAACAGAUGUGUAAGUAACUAUGCACGUCUUGACGGUACCUAAUCAGAAAGCAACGGCUAACUACGUG
This 497-nucleotide ribosomal RNA is filed under the name uncultured bacterium. RNAcentral's name for it is "partial 16S ribosomal RNA". It matches the Rfam family "Bacterial small subunit ribosomal RNA", at positions 28 to 507 of the family's 1533-position model. The record is from RNAcentral.